Non-coding RNA from Nicotiana tabacum (common tobacco), 1600 nucleotides. The record is from RefSeq and is a predicted model, not a curated record. NCBI's taxonomy places the organism in Eukaryota, Viridiplantae, Streptophyta, Magnoliopsida, Solanales, Solanaceae.
UUUGCACUACUUUGUAUUCAUAGGUUAAUCAAUCAGUGAAAGCUUUCUGAGAGGAAAAAUUGGGUUUCGGUUGUGGUUCUUCGCCGCUCUAGCCUUUUUUCAUCAAAGAUUCUUGUUAGGAGAGGGAAACAAAAUUCGAUGAGCUUAUGUUCGGAGUUGAUGUAGAUUGGCUGAUUAUACCAACGUGGACGUUCAGGAAGUGUAUAAAAAGAGAAUAAGUAAAACUCGAUACUUUGCGAAUAGAAUUGCUUGAUUAUUCCCUAAGCAUGUUGAGUUUUAAACAAGGUUUACAAGCUAUCCAAAAAGAAAAAGAAGGCAAUUCCUACUCCUAAUUAAAGAGAUUCUAAACCCUUCCCAUAUUUACAAGGAAUUGUUUUUCUUUUCCAUAUUAACAAUUUACUAAUUCUUAAUGCUCCGUCUUUUGUUGGAGUGUACAUGUCGUAUGCUCCUUAUUUGCCGCAAGAUAUACUCAAUUUUGGAGCCAUAGAGUGACUUUGUAAGAAUAUCUGCUAAUUACUGGGGAAUGAGUUGACUGAGCUUUGGUUUCAAGUAUCUGGUGAUUAGACGUUGAAUGUAUUAAAGUGGUUUCCUAUCCAGCUACAAAGGAUUAGUAUUUAGUUGUUGUAUGCUUGAAUUAUAAUAAGUUGAAUCUAUUGUGCAAGGAGAUUAACAAAGAAUUUUGUGGUUUCAUGGAUCAAUUCAAGUGUCAUUAGUAUCAACAGUUUCUCAAAGACGAUGGCCUCCUGGGACUUCAAGAUGAUCAAAAUGUUAAACACUCUGGUGGAAGGUCCAUUGUUAAUCUGGUGGGAUAUCCAAUUUGUCAAGUUCUUAAAUCUCUGUCCUUUUAUUAUUUCCUUUUCUCCCCUUUCCUAUAUCUCUAUAGGUGUCUCAAUUAACUUUUCUUUAUUUGACGUGCUCUUUUGUUUUUUCAUCAUCUUAUCUCCAAUAAUCGCUUGGUCAUACUUCAACUUCAUCUUUGGUUUGUUUGCACAGAAAAAGAAUAGUCCAUGCUUUUGGCAAAUGCUUAGAGAAAUCAUCAAAUUCAAGCAGGAUGUCAUAACGUACUAUUUCAUCCUUUAGCUUGACUAUCGGUUAAUAAAUCCGUUUGAUGUUGAUGUUUCAUUAUUACAGCACAACAAAGUAUUCUUUGGUUGAAAAGGACUAAAUCAUUGUGUUUUGCACAUGUUCUGUAUUUGUGUAAAAAAAGAGCUGUCUUUAAUGUAGUUUAUGUUUCCCACUCCAUUGCAGUUAUCUUGAGGCACUUGAUAACAAUUCUGACAUUGAUCGGAAUGAAACGUUAGGAUAUUUUAUUCAGUCACAUGGCUAUUCGGAGUUAUUUCAGAAAGCUUAUCUGGUGAUCAGACUUCUGUUCCGUCAAAGUUCUUGAUUUUAUUACAUGCAUAGACCAUUUUGUUUCAUUCAAAAAGAUAAUAUUGCUAUAAGCAAUUCACACAAAUGUUUUGACAGUUUUCAAUAUGUGCAUCAAUUUGGUUCUGCCCCUCGAAAAGAGUAAUGAGCUUUUUUUGCUUACUCCAUUCUUUCAUUUUGUCGCAACCAUCAUCUCUAUAUGAACGAAUGAAGAAGGUCCGGUUUGGUUCUA